This 451-nucleotide ribosomal RNA is filed under the name uncultured bacterium. RNAcentral describes it as "partial 16S ribosomal RNA". It matches the Rfam family "Bacterial small subunit ribosomal RNA", at positions 354 to 796 of the family's 1533-position model. The record is from RNAcentral.
GUGGGGAAUAUUGGACAAUGGGGGGAACCCUGAUCCAGCCAUGCCGCGUGUGUGAAGAAGGCCUUUUGGUUGUAAAGCACUUUAAGCGAGGAGGAGGCUACCGAGAUUAAUACUCUUGGAUAGUGGACGUUACUCGCAGAAUAAGCACCGGCUAACUCUGUGCCAGCAGCCGCGGUAAUACAGAGGGUGCAAGCGUUAAUCGGAUUUACUGGGCGUAAAGCGCGCGUAGGUGGCCAAUUAAGUCAAAUGUGAAAUCCCCGAGCUUAACUUGGGAAUUGCAUUCGAUACUGGUUAGCUAGAGUAUGGGAGAGGAUGGUAGAAGUCCAGGUGUAGCGGUGAAAUGCGUAGAGAUCUGGAGGAAUACCGAUAGCGAAGGCAGCCAUCUGGCCUAAUACUGACACUGAGGUGCGAAAGCAUGGGGAGCAAACAGGAUUAGAUACCCGUGUAGACC